GGCGCUAUGGUAUAGUGGCAAUACUUGGGAUUUUGAUUGGCUAUGAAGGAUAUUAUCUUCCCACAACCCAGGUUCGAAACCUGGUAGCGCCU
Molecule: non-coding RNA, 92 nt
Organism: Armillaria borealis
Lineage: Eukaryota; Fungi; Basidiomycota; Agaricomycetes; Agaricales; Physalacriaceae
Source: the annotation of a GenBank genome assembly